Petromyzon marinus (sea lamprey) is the source of this 10309-nucleotide long non-coding RNA. RefSeq lists it as uncharacterized. NCBI's taxonomy places the organism in Eukaryota, Metazoa, Chordata, Hyperoartia, Petromyzontiformes, Petromyzontidae. The record is from RefSeq and is a predicted model, not a curated record.
UUGGGAUGGAAGGUGUGGGGGCGGAGAGGGUGGGGGUAUGAAGGAGGUAGGGAGGGGCUUCGGGGAUAGGACGACUGAUGCUGUGAUUGCGGGAUGGGAUCCUUGGCCAGAGUCUGGCGGAUUAAUGCGGGUGGUUUGGGCUGUCCUCCUUCGCACAGCGGUACACGAGGGUCGCCUGCUCCAUUCACACCAUCGUGAUGUGCACCACCGCCGCUUUCUGGGCUCUGGGAUAUACCCCGAGCAAUACAUAACUAGCGGGGAUAUGCACAGGACGUAAGGAAUUCACACGCACGCACUCACGCACACUUAACUAACAUCCACAGAUUGCAAGUCACGCUUUCCGUGAUAUUUUAUUGCAAAGAUAAUCUACAAUGUGUCGUCGGAUUCUAGGCGGCGUGGUAAUCCUAAUAAUAAUGAGUUCGAAGGAGCUCGUGAAGUCACGUGUUAUAAGUGGUAUUGCAACCUUCGCAUUCCGUCGGCCAGCGCAUUAAUACUAUUGGAGAUAUACCAGCGCAGCUUGGUAAUGCAGUUUGUGUGGUAUGCUCGUGUAAAUAAUAACUCUGCUUGUUUCAUCAAUUGGAAGCGGAAGCUUCAAGUGACACCGGGCGUCAAAAAUCGCGUUUUCAAUGGAAAUAUUUCCCAUGCAGCUACAAUGUCCCGCUACUUCUUGUCGCGCGCCUCGUUGCGAGAAAACGUGUCUGCGUUUACAUGUCUAAUUAGCACCGCUCUUAACAAGAUGCACAGAUGUUUACGGACUUUCCCCAAAACGAAUCCAUGUAUCUGGUGCUCGCACUGUGCCCGGUAGGAAUUGCGGCUGAAGACGCCAUCAGGUGUAGAUAUGUAAAAAACAAAAAAAUACAUUAUCGAUAACACCGUUUAGAUUGGAGUAGCAAAUAUCUAAACUCAGCAAAUACAACUCUUGAUAAUUAAAACCAAAAAGAUUUAAAUUUAAUAUCAUAAUAUUCACACCAAGUAUGUACUUCUAUCCGGAAAAAAUAUAUAGCCUACAUCUUAAUUAUUCCUCGAAUUCAAUAUCAUAAAACUACCAAUUUGGAAGGUCGUGCAUUUAGGAGUCGACCAGGCCAACACUGGCACCUUGUAGAGAAGCAAUGGGAGCGCCUACUCCUGUCCCUUCACUAUCCCUGCGAGCAUGAGCCAGCAGAUUUCGUUUGUGCGUCUCUCGUGAACGUUAACACCGAGGGACCCGCUUCGAACUUUGGCUGUGACAAUUGCCUGCCCGCGCCCUGGAUCAGCAACUUGCAUCAAGUUUGGGAGGAUAAAAAAAAUGCUUUACCUAGCCCAUACGUGCAUUUGUGAAUAUGUAAAAGGUAAAGGCGCAGCCCUGCAAUUACGUGCCCAUACCUAUUCUUCUUGCGGAAGGGCCUCCACCAGGGGGAGCUCCUGUAAAAGGGUAUUUGCCCUACUAUACCAUGCUUGUCCGAUUUAGGAGUACCCACACUUUACCCCACCACACACGACCUGCUGAUCUACUAACGCUAGUGUACCCAUUAGUACUGCUCAGGAGACAGAGGCACGGGGAAGAUUUUAAGAAACCCACACCAUUGCUUCAAGUACCUCGCCUGGGGACAGAACUGGCAACCACUGUAUUGCAAGUUCAGUGUGCCAUUUCCAUUGCGCCACGGCAGCAUCCCCAUGAAUAUGGAACAAAACACACAUGGUUAUUUAAGGCGACAUUAUAGCCAUGGUAGGAAUUUGAUUGAGGGUUUAAUAUAAAAUGGGUCAUCUCUACCGGGUGCGGUGGUGCACGCCAGUUAUCCAGCACUUUGGAGGCAAAGGUUGAUGGAUAACACACGUGUGAAACUCCCAAACUCACUGGGCUGCAGAGUGAAAAGGAUAUGGCAGUACAGCAGGAUUAUUGAAUUCACCUGUGCGGAGAUUUGAGCGUCUUCCCCUCGUAUGUCUGGCCUCUCUCCAAGUGUCAUGGUUUCCUCCCACAUCCCACUCUCAAAUUGAAUUGUUCAAACAUGGCAAUGUAGAACCUUUCCGAGUAUUACGACUAAUUGAUACUUUCCUAGAUACAUUUGAUUUUUGCUUUUAUAACUACAUUAUGGCACCAAUUAAGAUGUGUACCGCUUUGUGGGAAGUCAAAAUAGCUUGCUCUAUGGAAAGACCGUUCGUCAUCACUCUCAUAUAGAAGCGCAAUCACCACUUCAAUACUGCGAAACCAAAUGAGCCCUGCCAUUUAGGGGCCAGCCUCUCUAAAGGACCACCACUGUUGACUUUGCACAAAGUAGUGUCUAUUUUAUCGACCCAGCAUGGGUGGUUUAGUGAACUCUAGACCGAGAUUUGAGUUUCAACCUGUAAAAUUUGAAAGUGAAUGCGCCUGAUCCCGGCAACUAAGCAGAGUUAAACCUGGUUAGUAGUGGGAUGGAGGAAGUGCCUGGGAGUAAUUGAUGUUGUAGGUUUGGUUGGGCUGUAAUUUGUCCAGGAGAUAGCAGCACAGCAACUGAUUCUUGAAUAUUUCUGUACGGAGAUUUCUUUGUGUAAACCCAAUCGUAUUUGUGCGGUUUUUUUUGCUCGGUUUCCUCCCACAUGCCAGACACUCGUCGAUGGAAUUGAGGAAAUAUCCCCGAUGCAAAGACCCUCCUGCAAAUCAAUCUUGAUGCUCGGCGAGGCUUUCUGUGGUAAAUAAAUGGUAAAUGUUAUUUUACUUUACAAUUACGAAUCGAGCACUCUAACUUGCGGCGCUACCCCAGCCGCAACGGAGAAAUGGGUAAAACAUUGUGUGAAUUGGGUUGAACAUGUGCGGCGGAAUUAGUUUUGUAAGCUAUUAGCGCACAUAAUCACGAGUUUAUGAAAAAAAAAGUUAACUCGAGCAAAACGACUACGGUAUGGGCGAAAUUUUUUGAAUGAUGACAGUAUAUUAAUCGCUUUCUCCAAUUACAAAACCGUAUUUAAUUGAUAAUUAAUAGUUUUGGCAGGAGUAAAGCAGGUUUAAAAUACUUUUUUGCAACAGGCCAUUGAGCAUCCAAGUAAUGGUUGCCAGUGAUCAACGCAACACAUUGACAGCAUGAAUUAACAUUGCAGCACAAAUGAGGAGAGUCCUUUUCCAUUACAUUCUGGCAGUCGAAGCCAUCAAUAAAAAAAUGAACAAAGUACACUGAUAUGUUAAGGCGAUAUCUAGUAUUGUACAGAGCAAAACCUGCCACUCUAUUAUAUAAAUACCAUGUAUUUAUAGCACCGCUACAGAUGUAUAAUCACCACGUACACACACUCUUGAGGUAGGCAUUUGCAAUGUCCAUGCAAAUCAUGGACGUUGGUUGGGGGAAUUAUUAAAAUGCAGCUUCUCUGCUGAUCAAUGUAAUCCGCGGUUAUGGGCUUCGUGCAUGGUGUCCCUUAGACGCGAAAUGGAUUGCAGGGAAAGGGUGGGACAUUCGUCUUGCGGGAUAAUAAAAGCUUUGGGAGCGCAGAUUCAUCGUUUGUAGAUACAGCUGCAACGCUCAGGAGGCAUUUUGAUGAGGUUAUGCAGGGUAAAUGUAAUUGAGUGUUCAUUAUGUGUCUGUACCUGCCCGCACCCAUGCAUCGGAACUCUGCAAGCUUGGGAAGCAAGGGGAGGGGUGGAGGAGGAGAGGUGGGGGCGGCGGUUGCGGGGUCUUUUGGUGUUCCCUAACCCCUAAAUCCUCCACGGGCGAUCCGUCAUUUUCAAACGGGAGCGGAAUGGAUGUGAGGUCGGGCGGAGACUUGAGAGCCUCACUCCAGAGCCUCACCCCCAAAUGACCUCCAUCCAACUUCUCCGGCUGUGUCCUGAGACAGCUUAAGAGGGGGUGCAUGGGGAGAAUCGUGGCUGGAUAUGCUGCUGUGCGUACCGGGUGUAAGCGAUUAUUUGCCUGGUUAGGGCGCAGAUUAUCCACGGGUAAUGUAGCUUCACGGCCACCCGUUGAAUGCUCAGCAUAGACCGCAGUUAGCCGGGCUAAUGCAUAGCUUUGGGAGCGAGAUGUCAUCAUAAUAAUAACAACACAAUGUACUAUCGAGAUUUUUUUUUACGAUUACAGAAGGUUAUGGCAUUGCACGAAUGCCACUGUCUGUGAAAUUGUCAUUGUUCAUUGAAUUGUACAAUAGCAGCCAAAGCCAUUUACACGUUUAAUUUAUCGUGUUAUAUAAUUACAUGAGGAAGUAGCAUUGUUUCGGGAGAGAAAGCCGUCUGUUCUGUGAUGUAUUGGAUCACAAUAGCAUUAGUGCUCAGCACUGGAUGCUUCGUUAUGAACUUACCUAGAGUCACUUACCGUUCUCGAUAAAUAUAAACGUAAGCUCUGUUGUGAGUAGUGGACACAAUGGCACGUACACCUGGGUAUGGGUCUUCGGCUAAUCACCAUAAUCAACAUUAGCAGUCAAAAUCAUGAUCGAACGUGAUCCAGGAGUCCGCCCUGAACUGUACUUGGGCACUUAGCGCCUCUAGUGAGACAUUUUAUCCGUGCACAAUUAGCAAAAAGAACCCACACCGUUCGUCAAUAUAACACUACCUUAAAAGUGAAAUACUCUACCGUGUGUGUAUAUAAUAGGCGGCAUUUAGGGCAUUUGCCCUUGUAGAGGGCACGUGGAUAAAGAGGCCAGCGAUGUAAAGUGGAUGAGAGUUGGAGGCUGCGCUCUACUAUAACAUAUACACAGUUCACCAAAAUAAUGUUAAUCGACUCGUGUGCGCGGGAUACGAGUGUGAAAUCCGUGCAGCUAGUUUGUCUUCAACUUUGAUCAACACGACGUGGCACGCAGUCUCUCUUGCGAGGCGCUCAAUAUAUAUCGAGUAUGGGUAGGCAGCGUUGGUGUCACCGGGUAGCAAGACCCACUUGUCUGGUCAAUGCCGUGUGAACGUCUUCUGCUGGCUUUUACAAGUCCAGUGAUAUAUGUUGUAUGAGCUGGGUUGAUGCUACGUGGGUGUGUGGGUUGAUGCUGUGUGAGUCGAGUUGAUGCUGUGUGGGUGUGUGGGUUGAUGCUGUGUGGGUUGAUGCUGUGUGGGUCCGUGAGUUGAUGCUGUGUGGGUGUGUGGGUUAAUGCUGUAUGGGUUGAUGCUGUGUGGGUCUAUAAGUUGGUGCUGUGUGGGCCUAUAGGUUAGUGCUGCGUGGGUCUAUAGAUUGGUGGUUUGUGGGCGUAUCCUCAUGCUAGAUUUGGGUAAGGACGUGUUAAACGUAAGCACCCUCUUUACUCCCCGUUGUCUUGAGUUAAAAGGCUUAAAAUGUAAACCUGACUGCAACCUUGUGUUCAUGAUCAGUCCAUCACAUAUCCAGUUGAGAUGACAGCACAAUUACUGUUUAUUAAACACAGUAGUCCGUGAUGCUGCGUUGACAGUGCUGCACAAGCAAAUAAAAACACCACUUCUGCAUCGGUUUGCCGCCUGAAGAAGGCCCUUGCACAAUACGUCGCCGAUUAUUACGUACUUUUGGACUUUAAGAGAGCGUUGUUGAUGCGUGUGUUGCGUUAUUGCUUUUUAGUUUAUUGCUCGAUCGUUUUUUUAUUGUUUGUUGUAACUUUCUGACGCGAACCCACUGGACAUCCGUGAAAAAGAGCUUCAAAGCUCGUCGGAGUUCUCCAAGAUAAAUAGAUAUUCUUAUUCUGUUUAUGUCUUUAGUACACACCUUUUUACUUAACAAGGUAUGCAUCUUAAAGGACUCUCACCUCGUUAAUAUUUCACUAAAUACAAUCUUCGAUUUAGGUCUGCUUCUUAAAGAACGCUCACCUCGUUAAUAUUUAACUCAAUACAUGGGGUUCACAACGUGUCUCCAUCUACAAGAAUUGGGACAAUGCAGUUGGUCUGAGAAAGUCGUGAGGAAUUCCACGUUCUCGUGAUAGGGGUCAAUCUACUUAAAGGAUGACCCCUGUUAACUUACUACAGAGUGGCAUGGGCCUUUGCAUGCAUUUAAACCCAGAGUGAUUUUGGGAUUUGACCUCACAGUCAUCGAUCUAGGCACUAUAAGCACCAUAUAGGCACUAUAAGCACAAUGCCACUCCACCGUAUCUCCAUGGUACGUGUGCACUGAUGUAAAACGUACCCGCGCCGACUAUGUGUAAACAUUGGUCCUGUAAAACUGUUGAAGCGAAAUUAAUCAAUUAAAGUUUAAAUGGGUAGACCAUGCCACAAGAAAGGCCGAGGAGAGACAAAAGAAACGACGGAGCAGAGACCGAGAGGAGGCGACGGAGCCAGAGGAAGACGCCUGAAUAGACAGCACCAGCGAGACGACAUCAUCGGUCUCGGAGGGCGAGACCGAUGAUGUCGGGAAAUUGCUGACUGACAAUGACGAAAACAACAGCUACACUCAUCGCAAAUCAUAUGUAAGUCGUACCUUGUGAUAAAUGUUAAUUGGACAUAUUUCCACCACGGGAAUUGUGUUGACAGCUCAAGGAUAUACACGUGGCCAGGAAUCGGCGUAAGGCAAUUGAGCAGCUACUUAACGUGUACGUUUGCAGUUGACCAUCACAAUUGUAACGUAAUCAGUGAUACCAUGGAUUUGUGAACAUUUGCUGUGUGACUCAACAAUAGGGGAUGACAUUCAGUAAAGGGAUAAUCGUUGUCCCGAUCGUUUUCCCCAAAAUAAACUUACAGAGUGUUGAUUUUUUUUAAUGAGGGUCCUGAAAAAUAUGGCUUGUUGGGUACCUGUUAGGGUGGCAAAUGCUAACAUUAAUUUUCUCGAAGACGCUGUCCUGUUGAUCACAAAUACUUAUGAUAGCAAGGUAGCUAUUGUAGCUUUGUUUCAGAAUAAUAUACACACAAUGGUGCCAAAGUGUAUUUGGUAGGGAAUAUCGUUUGCAAGAAAAUAAAUGCGAUAUAAAACAUGCACACAAUCUGAAAACAAAUAGGGCAUGUAAUCUACAAAAUAGGCAGUAUGUAACCUACGAUUUCUAUUAAUGGUGUAUACUGCCCAUGGCGGAUGCUUGGAGAAUUUGCUACCGUUGGCUCGUGGACUUAAGAGUUACGAAGCGAAGAAAUGCCUGCGCACGUGGGUUUGCGAGAUGAGCUCGCCUUCCCCCAACCCAUCCGCGCCAGUAGCCCCGAGAGCAAUUUUAUCGCGGUAGUUCAUUAAAGGGAAACGUUAAACGGAAGCGUUUUAAAUCAAAAGUGCGGCCAUACGAAUCACUCUAAAAACAGGUGCGCGCACAACAAAUGCGCGCGCGCACGCGUUGUACCGCGCACGUCACCGAUAGCCAUCAAUCAAGUUUCACUCAAUAAAGCGCAACUUUAAUUAGCUCAUGCGAAAUCUACAAUGAGAUUUAAUGAAUACGGACGCGCGCGCGUGUUUUUGUUGUUGUUGUUUAAGAACGGGCGCAAUUACCGGGCGUUUAGUGACGUCAUUAAUUCCGCUUGUUAAUUCAAUCUUCAGAACCGGUUGUUUUUUUUUUCCGUGAAAGGGGUUGGAUGGAGGGAAGGACGAUGUGGAGAGCGAUAAUUGGUGAAAAAUGUUUGGGCUCAGAAGUGAUGCUUCGCUUUAUGUCCAUGUACGUGUGUGUCUAUGACGGUACGCACUGUUGCCUGCGCGGUACGCGCGCCAACCUAUAGACCCGCACGGAACCAACCUAAAGAGCCCUGGCAAUGGACGAGGUGAGGGCGGGGGGGGAGUGCCCGGGCAUCGCUGCUCAUCGGCCAGAAGAGCGCGCUCCCCGGCACGCCGACUCUGUCUAUCGCUCGAUCGCCACCGCUGCUGAGGUGGUGGUGGGGGGACCCCCACGCAGCGCUCAGCCACCUCCUCCACUGCAGCGUGCCAACGACCACUGAGACAAGGUCGCGCGUCAGCUUCGUUCAAUGACCGCUAGGCGGCGCUGUGCGUUGGAGGCACCGUGAACACGAUCCAGUCCAUUCAUUUAUUGAAUCCCAUGGGGUUAAAUGGGCUGCAAACGUGAAGCUUUAUAGAAGAGCAAUGUCUGUUGAAAAGGGGACUGACCAACAGAAGCUUCUGUCAUAGCUUCAUGAAGAUGGUGAUCAUGUGCAAGAAUUGCACGAAGAUUGCAAGCUUCCCUGUAUGUUUAGAGGUCUUGGAAAGGUGUGCCCUUUGGCAACAUGGAGAAGCAUUGGGAGAAAGUAGCACUGCUGAUUGUUGGGAUGAACCGUGCAGACUCAUCUUAAGGCAUCAGAUGCACUGUUAACAGCACGUCGCUUCCAUUUUUUUAGCAGUCAAUGUAUAGUAGGAGGGAACUUAAUGGUAGAGCAUGUUGGCAGCAAAUGGGUCACUUUGGCACAAAACAAAGAAUGCCAUCAAGGUGGUAUCUUGUGACGCCAGGGCCUGUUGGUCAUUUCCUUUGACGUAGAUGCGUUGACCAUUUGAGGUGAAGUGGCAAAUGGACGACUGUGGGGGAACGGUUAUGGAUGGGGAAGCCAAUAAUUCUGCAAAUGGCCUCGUUGUUGCUGAUGUAUCUUCCUUGGAAAAAAAAGGUUAAGCUCGUGCACACUUUUUUGUAAGGCAAAGGCAGCCAUGUCAGAGCCUUUAUUGAUGUAUUUGCAAACAUAUUUGAUGGCUUUUUUUAGAAGAGCAGAAUUUCACGUUAAAGUGGGCCUGGAAGAUAUUGCACAGAAGAGGGCAGUAGGGAACGAUCCACCGGUUGUUAGCCUUAAUUUCCGAGUUAGUGGCAGGUCUGAGCGUUGUUUGAAAUCUAACAUAGCCAUUAUGGGCAAACUGGGUGUUUCAAGUAGUUCCGUGGAUACCUCUUGGUACACCUGUUGUCUUGCAUACAUGGCGCAUUUGGAUAGAACUGGCCACAUGGGCCAUGGAGUAUUUGAUUGCAGACCACAUAGAAAAGGGCAGGGUCUUGAUGGGGGUGAGGUAGCUCAGCACUGAUAAAUGUUUCGAUGUGACUUGCAUGAAUUGUUUCCCUCAUCCAUAGCGAAAUGUGAGGAUGAGGCGACGACGUUUUUGCCACCCAAUGGUGUGCAAGUUACUGUGUCUAUCCAAAGAGGCCGCCUUCGUUGGUCGUAAUAAGCAUAAUGAGGUAAUAAACUUUGAGUUUUAAGACCCUCGCUAAGAUGUCCUGUCUGUCUGGUGGCUUUUGGUUUGGAUAAAUGUAAACCUGGAUCUCCUUUCAUUUGGGAUUGCAAGUGAAGGUGAUGAAAAGAUGGGGCGUGCCAUAUUGGCUGAUGUACGUCAUGGCAUCCCGAGUCUUCUCAUGCAUGUAUCUUGGUGGCGCUGUAAAGGAUGAAGGCAAAAUAACUAAUCAGCCCACAUUGUGACCAUUUGCAUCUUCUUUGGCAUUGAUGGCGUCCCAGAAAUGAGCAUGCUGGUCACACGCAGGCAGUUUUGAUUCAGUUGAAUGCAAAGAAGGUGCUCACUCUCAAUGUUGGCAUACUCAUCGACCAACAUUGAAAGAGGUUGGCGUACCAUAAUGUGGUUUCCUCCUCUGUCCAUGAUCACGAAGGAAUAUAACAUUUUUUAGAGGAGACAGUUUUGUGAGGAUGUCUUUGUCCUGCAGCUUUUCAAUUGGAGAACUUGACGUGGCACCCAUCUUGGCCUUGCGACAGGAAAAUGUGUUUUUGUAGGGCAUCGUAUGCUCAGUUAGUGUCAGGAAAUUGUGCGAUGGUUUUUUUUUGGUAUGGAAGAACAAUGUCUCUCAAUGUUCCUCACCCACCGUAAGAAAGCAAGGUCAAAAAUAUUUGGGGCAUUGAACCUCCCUGCGUGCUCUCCACUUUGGAAAGUAAGGUUGCGGUACGGCAAAAUUUUAAUGGGUAAUGUUCCCACGAAUGUAAUAAAACUAUAGACGAAUUGCAAUGGGCUGUAGCUAAAAGUCCAACGUAUUUAGCAGUCUAAUAUAUUAAUCAGCAUCGCAGUACUAUAGUGUGAUGUGAGCAAUCGAAACAAUAGAAAUGCAUUGAAGAAAUACGCUGAAAUACGUCUACAUUAAAGAGCAGCAAUACGCACGGGUAUGUUGAGAAGCAGGUUACAGUCUAGAUUAUAGACUGCCAGUACGGCGACUUAAUGACAUAAGCAUUGCUACAGUCUACAUAAAAAGCUGGCAAUACGAUCGGUAGCUGAAAAAGCAGGAUACAGUCGACAUGAAAGGCUGGCGGUACACAGAGUGAGGUAAAGAAGCAGGCAAUAGAUUAUAGACUGGCAUACACUCAUAAUGGCCAAAAGCAAAAUUAGCAGUGUAGAUAAUAGUGCCAGUGCACCUGACGUUAAUAAUCAGCAGGCCACAGCACAGACUGGCAGUACACCGUCGCAGCAUCAUAAAAACACACCUAAAAAUAAUUAACAACCUAAUAAUUAAAUAUUAGUUAUCUGCACGCAAGCAUUAUUGUAGCGUAGUAUCUUCUUUGGUUCUUUCGGUAAAGUCACGUAGAAUGAGAAUAAAAUAAUAAAUUGAUAAAAUAAAAUAA